GACGAACGCUGGCGGCGUGCUUAACACAUGCAAGUCGGACGGAAAGGCCUCUUUCGGGGGGUACUCGAGUGGCGAACGGGUGAGUAACACGUGAGUAACCUGCCCUUGACUUUGGGAUAACUUCAGGAAACUGGGGCUAAUACCGGAUAGGAGCUCCUGCUGCAUGGUGGGGGUUGGAAAGUUUCGGCGGUUGGGGAUGGACUCGCGGCUUAUCAGCUUGUUGGUGGGGUAGUGGCUUACCAAGGCUUUGACGGGUAGCCGGCCUGUGAGGGUGACCGGCCGCAUUGGGACUGAGAUACGGCCCAGACUCCUACGGGAGGCAGCAGUGGGGAAUAUUGCACAAUGGGUGGAAGCCUGAUGCAGCAACGCCGUGUGCGGGAUGACGGCCUUCGGGUUGUAAACCGCUUUCGCUCAUGACGAAGCUUUGUGUGACGGUAGUGGGUAAAGAAGCACCGGCUAACUACGUG
Molecule: ribosomal RNA, 467 nt
Filed under: uncultured bacterium
Lineage: Bacteria
Description: partial 16S ribosomal RNA
Rfam family: Bacterial small subunit ribosomal RNA
Source: RNAcentral